RNAcentral lists this ribosomal RNA (408 nucleotides) under Antillotyphlops monastus (Montiserrat worm snake). RNAcentral's name for it is "partial 16S ribosomal RNA". It matches the Rfam family "Bacterial large subunit ribosomal RNA", at positions 1968 to 2594 of the family's 2925-position model. The record is from RNAcentral. Lineage: Eukaryota; Metazoa; Chordata; Lepidosauria; Squamata; Typhlopidae.
UUUGUCCACUAAUUAUGGACCCGUAUGAAAGGCCACAUGAGAAUCUAACUGUCUCUUGUAACCAAUUUAUAAAACUGAUCUUCCAGUCCAAAAGCUGGAAUUUUACUAUAAGACGAGAAGACCCUGUGAAGCUUAAAAAACCCCGUUAAACUAAUUUAACGGGUAUUUUUAGUUGGGGCAACUUUGGAAAACAACAUAACUUCCAAAAAAGGAAACACUCCAUACCAAGACCAACAAGUCAAUAAAGACCCAGUAUAACUGAUAAAUGAACCAAGUUACUCCAGGGAUAACAGCGCAAUCUUCUUCAAGAGCCCAUAUCAAAAAGAAGGUUUACGACCUCGAUGUUGGAUCAGGACACCCAAAUGGUGCAGCCGCUAUUAAAGGUUCGUUUGUUCAACGAUUAACAGU